This 515-nucleotide long non-coding RNA is filed under the name Monodelphis domestica (gray short-tailed opossum). RNAcentral describes it as "lncRNA (ENSMODG00000035026.2)". Lineage: Eukaryota; Metazoa; Chordata; Mammalia; Didelphimorphia; Didelphidae. The record is from RNAcentral.
CUUUUCUUUACUGAUCUUUAGUUCAGCCUUAAUAGCUACUGCCUAGAAAAAAAAAUUUUUUCUGGCCAAGAUUUUUUACCCUAGCAAAGCUAUUGCUGAUCCAGCUCGUUCCAGCCAUUAGAUAGCUCGGCUCCACUCGGCCGCUUCUGCCUGCCUGCCUGCAUUCCUGCCUCCGCUCCAGACCUGCUUGCUAUUUGACCCAGACUGCCCCUCACCUGCCUGCCCUUCCCGGCUGGCUCAGCUCAGCUCCUGUUCCCAGCGUCUGGACCUGUUUUGACCCAGAUCUGGAUCACCUGGUAAUCCACCACCCCCUGGCUCAGCAAACUCUAGCCUCGGAGCAGAUUGCUCAUCACCUCAGGCCCAGGACUCAUUUCUACCAGCUUGUAAAGAUGGGGAGUGGAUUGUGGCCAGAUAUGAAGAGGAAAUGGAUCUCAUUUUUGGCCAAGUGCAACCUGCCAUGACACCAUAAGGUGAGAGCAUAAGUGUCACAAUAAAGCCUGCUAUUCUACCUUCCA